AGCAGCCGCGGUAAUUCCAGCUCCAAUAGCGUAUAUUAAAGUUGUUGCAGUUAAAAAGCUCGUAGUUGAACUUCGGGGUUUACCCAUUGGUCAGGCUUAAUUGUCUGCACUGGUGAGAUGAAUCUCUACCUUCUGAGGAACUUUCAUGCCAUUUAUUUGGUGUGAUUGGAAAUCAGGACUGUUACUUUGAAAAAAUUAGAGUGUUUAAAGCAGGCUAACGUCUGAAUACAUUAGCAUGGAAUAAUGAAAUAGGACGGACUGAUUCUAUUUCGUUGGUUUCUAGGAUCACCGUAAUGAUUAAUAGGGAUAGUUGGGGGCAUUAGUAUUCAAUUGUCAGAGGUGAAAUUCUUGGAUUUAUUGAAGACUAACUACUGCGAAAGCAUUUGCCAAGGAUGUUUUCAUUAAUCAAGAACGAAAGUUAGGGGAUCGAAGACGAUCAGAUACCGUCGUAGUCUUAACCAUAAACUAUGCCGACUAGGGAUCGGACGAAGUUAAAAAAAUGACGCGCUCGGCACCUCAUG
Molecule: ribosomal RNA, 521 nt
Filed under: uncultured Glomeromycotina
Lineage: Eukaryota; Fungi; Glomeromycota
Description: SSU rRNA
Rfam family: Eukaryotic small subunit ribosomal RNA
Source: RNAcentral